AUUGAACGCUGGCGGCAGGCCUAACACAUGCAAGUCGAACGGUAACAGGAAGAAGCUUGCUUCUUUGCUGACGAGUGGCGGACGGGUGAGUAAUGUCUGGGAAACUGCCUGAUGGAGGGGGAUAACUACUGGAAACGGUAGCUAAUACCGCAUAACGUCGCAAGACCAAAGAGGGGGACCUUCGGGCCUCUUGCCCUCGGAUGUGCCCAGAUGGGAUUAGCUAGUAGGUGGGGUAACGGCUCACCUAGGCGACGAUCCCUAGCUGGUCUGAGAGGAUGACCAGCCACACUGGAACUGAGACACGGUCCAGACUCCUACGGGAGGCAGCAGUGGGGAAUAUUGCACAAUGGGCGCAAGCCUGAUGCAGCCAUGCCGCGUGUAUGAAGAAGGCCUUCGGGUUGUAAAGUACUUUCAGCGGGGAGGAAGGGAGUAAAGUUAAUACCUUGGCUCAUUGACGUUACCCGCAGAAGAAGCACCGGCUAACUCCGUG
Molecule: ribosomal RNA, 490 nt
Filed under: uncultured bacterium
Lineage: Bacteria
Description: partial 16S ribosomal RNA
Rfam family: Bacterial small subunit ribosomal RNA
Source: RNAcentral